UUGGGAGCCAGACAACUCGCCCCAAAGCCAACUCGCCCCAGGACAAGUCGCCCCGAAAAUCUGGACAAGUCGCCCCAAAUAUGUUGGACAACUCGCCCCAAUCGAAAGACAACUCGCCCCAAUUUUGUUUCUUAUAUAUAGUGUUGCUGUUUGCAAAGUAAUUAUAAGGGCUGACUAUAUAUAAAGAGGGUAUCCGAAUGAGCCCAAAGUAUGUGUUUUGUUUGUGUCGGACAAUACUAUUUGUGACUUGGAAUACGAUUGCUAUAUAGUUGUGUGGGUUUCAGUGCAUCUGCCAUGUGUUCAAACAUAUAUGUGCUUAUUUGAUGUCGGAUACAAUAAUUUUCUAGUGUUAGUUAGUUUUGUGUUUGUGUUUCUGCAAUGGCAGAAGUGGCAAAUUGUAAACAUUGCGGAAAGACAGUUGGGCAGAGGCAACGUGCUGUUUCUUGCGAUGCCUGCGAGCGAUGGCAACACAUAGGCUGUGAUUCUGGUAUAUCCCUGGCAGAAUACAAAGCAGCAACAAGAGGCGAAAGAGAAAUUCACUUUCUAUGUGCAGAAUGUUGCAGAAGCAUUCCCACUAUUCAUAGUGUGCCUGAGGACGAAAGGGUAUCACAUGUUGACCCAGAUUUAACACAGUUAGUAGAACCUGACGCGACAUUUCUGAAUGGGGACGUUUAUUCUCCUUCCCGAAGCGUCCAGGCCUGAUUAUACCAACCUCUUAAGGAAUUGCAACAGGCGACGCCAACACCAACGCCCCAAAGAUCCCACAGACACGGACUUUGAGCUCGACAUGGCGUUCAUCAACGAGAAGAUCUCGUCGUCUUUCUUCCGGGACGAGGUCCGCAACGGCGAAAGACGACAUCUUAUAUUCGCCACAGACCAGCAACUUCAACUGUUGAAGAAAGCAAAGACAUGGUACAUUGACGGGACAUUUAAGGUGGUCCGACAACCCUUUUACCAGUUGCUUUCCAUUCAUUCUUUCGUAAGGUCCGGUGACGACAUGAAGCAGCUUCCGUUACUGUUUGCGGUGAUAGUUUGUGUUUAAUUAUUACGGAUGUUUGAUAAUAUU
Molecule: long non-coding RNA, 1066 nt
Organism: Dreissena polymorpha
Lineage: Eukaryota; Metazoa; Mollusca; Bivalvia; Myida; Dreissenidae
Exons: 4
Source: RefSeq, a predicted model, not a curated record